AAUAGAUACCCUGGUAGUCCACGCCGUAAACGAUGAGUGCUAAGUGUUAGAGGGUUUCCGCCCUUUAGUGCUGCAGCUAACGCAUUAAGCACUCCGCCUGGGGAGUACGGCCGCAAGGCUGAAACUCAAAGGAAUUGACGGGGGCCCGCACAAGCGGUGGAGCAUGUGGUUUAAUUCGAAGCAACGCGAAGAACCUUACCAGGUCUUGACAUCCUCUGCCAACCCUAGAGAUAGGGCGUUCCCCUUCGGGGGACAGAGUGACAGGUGGUGCAUGGUUGUCGUCAGCUCGUGUCGUGAGAUGUUGGGUUAAGUCCCGCAACGAGCGCAACCCUUGAUCUUAGUUGCCAGCAUUCAGUUGGGCACUCUAAGGUGACUGCCGGUGACAAACCGGAGGAAGGUGGGGAUGACGUCAAAUCAUCAUGCCCCUUAUGACCUGGGCUACACACGUGCUACAAUGGAUGGUACAAAGAGCUGCGAACCCGUGAGGGUAAGCGAAUCUCAUAAAGCCAUUCUCAGUUCGGAUUGUAGG
This 529-nucleotide ribosomal RNA is filed under the name uncultured bacterium. RNAcentral's name for it is "bacterial SSU rRNA". It matches the Rfam family "Bacterial small subunit ribosomal RNA", at positions 777 to 1304 of the family's 1533-position model. The record is from RNAcentral.